GUAGGUGGCAAGCGUUGUCCGGAAUUAUUGGGCGUAAAGCGCGCGCAGGCGGUUCUUUAAGUCUGAUGUGAAAGCCCACGGCUCAACCGUGGAGGGUCAUUGGAAACUGGAGAACUUGAGUACAGAAGAGGAAAGCGGAAUUCCACGUGUAGCGGUGAAAUGCGUAGAGAUGUGGAGGAACACCAGUGGCGAAGGCGGCUUUCUGGUCUGUAACUGACGCUGAGGCGCGAAAGCGUGGGGAGCAAACAGGAUUAGAUACCCUGGUAGUCCGCGCCGUAAACGAUGAGUGCUAAGUGUUAGGGGGUUUCCGCCCCCCUUAGUGCUGCAGCUAACGCAUUAAGCACUCCGCCUGGGAGUACGGCCGCAGGCUG
This 371-nucleotide ribosomal RNA is filed under the name uncultured organism. RNAcentral's name for it is "partial 16S ribosomal RNA". It matches the Rfam family "Bacterial small subunit ribosomal RNA", at positions 527 to 896 of the family's 1533-position model. The record is from RNAcentral.